This 253-nucleotide ribosomal RNA is filed under the name uncultured bacterium. RNAcentral's name for it is "partial 16S ribosomal RNA". It matches the Rfam family "Bacterial small subunit ribosomal RNA", at positions 524 to 776 of the family's 1533-position model. The record is from RNAcentral.
UACGUAGGGGGCAAGCGUUGUCCGGAUUUAUUGGGCGUAAAGGGCGCGUAGGCGGCGCGGUAAGUCACUUGUGAAAUCUCUGAGCUUAACUCAGAACGGCCAAGUGAUACUGCAGUGCUAGAGUGCAGAAGGGGCAAUCGGAAUUCUUGGUGUAGCGGUGAAAUGCGUAGAUAUCAAGAGGAACACCUGAGGUGAAGACGGGUUGCUAGGCUGACACUGACGCUGAGGCGCGAAAGCCAGGGGAGCAAACGGG